Long non-coding RNA from Maylandia zebra (zebra mbuna), 1279 nucleotides. RefSeq lists it as uncharacterized. The record is from RefSeq and is a predicted model, not a curated record. Lineage: Eukaryota; Metazoa; Chordata; Actinopteri; Cichliformes; Cichlidae.
CGCCUGCCCCAAAUGAAGAGCUUCAUUCUAAAAUGAGAUAUCUGCCGUUUGAAAAAAGAAAAGAAACGCAGAGAUAGAAACACCUGCUCUGACAAAAUGACGGAUAGCGGGGGGGAAAUAAAUCCUCGUGCUGAGACGUUCCGGGAUGAACGUGAGGUUGCUGUCGGAGUAAAACGAGAAGGCAGUUGCAGACUGAAGCUUCUCUGUCUCACAGAUAAAGUUCAGAUCGUAAAUAUUGUUUCAAAAUGGAUCCACAAGUCAGCUCCUCAUACUGGAUAAUUUAAAUGGCCAUCAGGACCCACGAGGCUUCUACCACAGCAGCAGUGCUCAUCACGGCAUCUCGUGCCUACUGAGGUGUCCCUGGGCAGCAAAUGCUCUUGACCCUGACCUCCGGGUAAUGUCUGUUUUUUCCAUGGCUUAAAGUGAGAAAGUACAUUAACUCAAGUACUGCUAAAUACUGUAUGUUUGACGUUAAACGUGGAAUAGACAGUAAGACGCAUUAUUGCAAAAUGUAGAAAAAGCGUGAUAGAUAAAUCCAUGGAUGUGGAUCCUCCUACUUAGAGGCUCUGACUAUGAGUUCAGACCUGUUUCUAUAUAAAAUGAAAAACUUUUGAGCUGCUGUGGAAGAAAUGCCCAAACUACAGAAGAGACCAGCAGUUAGUGUAGCAACAAUACGUGAAAUAAGAGACAGUGAUGUGUACCCGGCUGGCAAAUUUGAAGUGAAGUAUUGAAGCUACGGCUAGGAGCAAAGGAGGCUGCUGGUCGACAGAUGGCAGGUCGGAAAUACGGAGGGUGAUCGACACAACCAGAGCCUGGCUUGUCCACUAGUGACUAACUGUGAUAAAAAGUGAUGUUUGAUGAGCAAAUCACUUCAUACGAGGACAAGUCUUAAAAAUCAAGUAACUUAAGGAUUGGACUGAAAAUGAGAGAAAAAGCAGCCAAUUCCCAAAGGAAAACUUGGAACGACCUUCGGAAAGAGACGGCUCAAGACUUGCCAUAACUAAGAUGAGUGACAGGAGGGGCUGGUUGGUCUCCAGGAGGAAAUAAAGGCUGAUUGUCAGCCUGGGACCGAGGUCAACAGGACUCACACCACCGAUAUAGCUGCCCCUGACCCUCAGACACAUCAGUUAUCACCUGAGCUGGACCCCACUGCAACAGACACACUGCAGGAGGCCGCUCAGCUUCCACCAGGUGAUGCUGUGCUAAAGGAGGUCUGGCAGAGGAUCUUUUAUUUCAUUUUCAAAGUCUUAAACACGACAAAUAAAAAAAUGAACAAGUA